RNAcentral lists this unclassified non-coding RNA (399 nucleotides) under soil metagenome. RNAcentral's name for it is "partial contains 5.8S ribosomal RNA, internal transcribed spacer 2, and large subunit ribosomal RNA". The stretch from base 1 to 120 matches the Rfam family "5.8S ribosomal RNA", at positions 35 to 154 of the family's 154-position model. The record is from RNAcentral.
GAUGAAGAACGCAGCGAAAUGCGAUACUUGGUGUGAAUUGCAGAAUCCCGUGAACCAUCGAGUCUUUGAACGCAAGUUGCGCCCGAAGCCUCGGCUAAGGGCACGUCUGCCUGGGCGUCACGCAUCGCGUCUCCCCCAAACCGCCAAGGCGGAGGGGAAGGAAGAUGGCUUCCCGUGCCUCACCCGGCGCGGUUGGCCUAAAUUUGGAGCCCGCGGCACUUAGCUCUCGUGGCGAUAGGUGGUGAACAAGGCCUUGGCCGUGCAAACAACCCGCUGCGAAUCUCUUUGUCACGUGCGCUCGUCGGACCCUUUGAAGUUGCCUUCGGUGACUUAAAACCUUUGCGACCCCAGGUCAGGCGGGGCUGCCCGCUGAAUUUAAGCAUAUCAAUAAGCGGAGGA